CAUACUACAUUGAACAUGUAAUGUGUUCAAAUCAUGCGUAACCCAUGAAGCAAGCAUCCAAUUAUUAUAAUCAUGAUAAUGUUUCCUAAUAAUAUGAUUUUUAUCAUUUCACCACAACUGCUUGAUAGCUAAUGCUGUAUUGGGUGUAAAAGAAAUUUAUUUUCUGGUGAAGGGUUCUAUAAACAUCUUUAAAUGCGACUGAUCAACUCUAGUUUUUAGCACGUUUGAUUAACACUUUGUCCCCGGCAGCAUGUUUAAAAAUGGAUUGAAAUGUAAUCCCACUCUUACUAGAUAAAGUUACUAAUGACAAUAUUAAAUAGACUUUAACAUUGACAUUAUAGUAUACAAACACUAAACUACUAUUAGUCCAUUUUGAUAUUUGUUUUUGUGUCAUGAUAUAGACUGAGGUGUAUAUUUAUAAGUAGGGGUUGUUCAUUUACAGUCUUUGUACACUUUGGCCAGAAUGUAAAUCCCUAUGUAAUUUGACCAUAGCACAUGCUGAAAAUAAAAUCAAAAAAUAUUAAUAAUGUUCUUAAUAUUAUCCAAACCUAACAUUUGAAUUAAUUUAUGCCAAUUUGAAUUAAAACCAAACCAGGAAUCAAUAAACAGUGACAGCCCUGAGAAGAAAAAGAAAGGCAUCAAGGGGGCAUUUAGCAAACUUACACAUGGUUCAAAGAAAGAUAAAGAAAGUAAAAUUGCAGACAAGGAAGAGGCUAAACUAAUCCAAGCCUACAAGACAGAAAUUGAAGAAUUAAAAGCAGAACUAAAGAAGGCUAAAGAAUCUGAGAUGACUAGGUCACAACAAAUUGAAAAAGAUGUUGCAGAAGCAAUGGCCGAUACUGCUACUAGCCCUGUCAAGCAUUAACACACACUGCAGCUGGUAAAGCUGCAGCCGAAAAUAAAGUGUCAUCCAUCUAACAUUGUGGGAAGUGCCACUAAAAUUUUAUUUUCAAAAGAAUAAUAGUAAUAUUACACAGAGUAUUGUGGGAGAAACACAUAGUUUAAUAACAAAAGAUAACUGAUAUAUUGUUAUUGUUCAAUUAGCAAUUUUAAUUAAACUGCUUAUACACAGAAAGUUUUCAGGUCAGUUUUUGCAUGUAGAGAUUAGGUUUUACUCAUCAAAUUGACUUGAAGAUUAGUGAUUAGAGUAAAGAAUAAAAUGUAAUAGUCAAGUCAUAAUGCACACACUGAUAAGGAGGUACAGUGACUCCUUCAGUAAUGUAUUAGUCUAAAUUCUAGUACAUUUGUUUUUGUUAUCUCGGUAAGCUAUAAUAGUAACUUAAUUUUAAAAGUGAAAUCUAUGAAAGCUUGCCCAUCACAUGUGCAGCUUCAGUUUGUGAAAUAAACUGUUUCAUGAAAUA
Long non-coding RNA from Exaiptasia diaphana, 1361 nucleotides. RefSeq lists it as uncharacterized. The record is from RefSeq and is a predicted model, not a curated record. NCBI's taxonomy places the organism in Eukaryota, Metazoa, Cnidaria, Anthozoa, Actiniaria, Aiptasiidae. The transcript has 6 exons.